RNAcentral lists this ribosomal RNA (492 nucleotides) under uncultured bacterium. RNAcentral's name for it is "partial 16S ribosomal RNA". It matches the Rfam family "Bacterial small subunit ribosomal RNA", at positions 29 to 507 of the family's 1533-position model. The record is from RNAcentral.
AGUGAACGCUGGCGGUAGGCCUAACACAUGCAAGUCGAACGGCCGCACAGUAAGAGCUUGCUCUUACGGGUGGCGAGUGGCGGACGGGUGAGGAAUACAUCGGAAUCUACUUUUUCGUGGGGGAUAACGUAGGGAAACUUCCGCUAAUACCGCAUACGACCUACGGGUGAAAGCAGGGGAUCUUCGUACCUUGCGCGAUUCAAUUAGCCGAUGUCGGAUUAGCUAGUUGGCGGGGUAAAGGCCCACCAAGGCGACGAUCCGUAGCUGGUCUGAGAGGAUGAUCAGCCAAACUGGAACUGAGACACGGUCCAGACUCCUACGGGAGGCAGCAGUGGGGAAUAUUGGACAAUGGGCGCAAGCCUGAUCCAGCCAUACCGCGUGAGUGAAGAAGGCCUUCGGGUUGUAAAGCCCUUUUGUUGGGAAAGAAAAGCAGCAGGUUAAUACCCCGCUGUUCUGACGGUACCCAAAGAAUAAGCACCGGCUAACUUCGUG